This 497-nucleotide ribosomal RNA is filed under the name uncultured bacterium. RNAcentral describes it as "partial 16S ribosomal RNA". It matches the Rfam family "Bacterial small subunit ribosomal RNA", at positions 28 to 507 of the family's 1533-position model. The record is from RNAcentral.
GAUGAACGCUGGCGGCGUGCCUAAUACAUGCAAGUCGAGCGAACGGACGAGAAGCUUGCUUCUCUGAUGUUAGCGGCGGACGGGUGAGUAACACGUGGAUAACCUACCUAUAAGACUGGGAUAACUUCGGGAAACCGGAGCUAAUACCGGAUGAUAUUUUGAACCGCAUGGUUCAAAAGUGAAGGACGGUCUUGCUGUCACUUAUAGAUGGAUCCGCGCUGCAUUAGCUAGUUGGUAAGGUAACGGCUUACCAAGGCAACGAUGCAUAGCCGACCUGAGAGGGUGAUCGGCCACACUGGAACUGAGACACGGUCCAGACUCCUACGGGAGGCAGCAGUAGGGUAUCUUCCGCAAUGGGCGAAAGCCUGACGGAGCAACGCCGCGUGAGUGAUGAAGGUCUUCGGAUCGUAAAACUCUGUUAUUAGGGAAGAACAUAUGUGUAAGUAACUGUGCACAUCUUGACGGUACCUAAUCAGAAAGCCACGGCUAACUACGUG